Long non-coding RNA from Nannospalax galili (Upper Galilee mountains blind mole rat), 307 nucleotides. RefSeq lists it as uncharacterized. The record is from RefSeq and is a predicted model, not a curated record. NCBI's taxonomy places the organism in Eukaryota, Metazoa, Chordata, Mammalia, Rodentia, Spalacidae. The transcript has 3 exons.
GCAAAGUUCAGUACCGGUCAGCGAUGCAGGUCAUAGAACCUCAGCUAUGUGGUUAUUACAGCACUUCAUAGCUAAUAUUUUGGAUAGAGUCACUGUGAAGUGAGCAAACUCUUCUGUCACAUGCUCCUGCCACCAUGCUAUGCUUAGGCUGAAACCUGCCCCAUCACAGGCCUACAGCAAUGGAGCCAGCUGAUGAUGGACUGAGACCCAUGAAAAUGAAUAUCAAGUCUUCUCAGAGCUGACUGGUCACGUCCAGAAUGAGAUGCUUCUUGAGAAAGCUCUGGAUCUCCUUCCACGAAUGCUCCUG